AUAUUUUACACAGUCAUUAAAUAGAGUAAGCAUUUGGACUUCUACACAAAAUUCUAGUUGCUAUAGCAGCAAGGAGGCAAAACAAUUAAACAGCAACAAGAAGCACAGUACUGCUUUCAACUAGAGUACUGUUAAUGGUUGAACAAGUUAUAGUAUAAUGUUUAUUUCAGUAUAAUGUACAUUCUUGAGUAAAGUUUCCAAUGUCAGCCUCUCUGAUAGAGUACUUGCCUGCAGUAAGCCAGGUUGAUAAACAGUAGUGACAGUUGUGGGAAACCAAUAGACUGCCUAAGGCUUUGCUCCACAGCCUUAAAGAGCUCUUCAACAAGACCAGAAAGCAACCUCUCUCAGCUUUUCAUUGCCUCCCUUAAUCCUGGAUACUCACAGGAAGCCAGUGGAGCCAUGAAGGACACUCAGCCAUCAAAAGAGAAUAUUUUCAUACCAUCCUUGCCUGAUGUAUCAAAUCUAGUGGAACCUUGUCAUGAUUCAGCUUCGCUAAAGGGGGCACUGAGUUAUGCGGAGACCCUGUUUAUCCGCAGCACAACAGCAGCUGAGCUUGUGUGUGGUCAGAGGAGAUAUAAAUGCUCAGGGUGCUUGCAUUACUAUGAUUAUCUGGACUGUUUGCUGGCACACAUAAAGCAAGGCAGGAUGGAGGGCUUUAGCUGUCGAGUUUUCUACAGCAAACUGAAAAGAAUGCACGAACACAAAUAUGCAAAGAGGGGUUCAGAGAAACAAUCCACAGCUCCAGAUCCGAUGUGCCAUUUUGCUAGUGGAGGGUCAUAAAUGUUACAGCUUCAGAGAUAAGAAGAUGGAUAUGAUCUGCAUGUGGCUGCAGACAAUGCAGAUAUCAGCAGUUCCUGAAUAGAUCAAAUAAAGGGACAUAAACCGGCAACACAAUGCAUUGUUCUGCGAUUUACUUACCCGCUGGAGAGAUGACACUGAUAGGAAGCAGCUUCAGACAGUUUAUUUAUAUUAUGCCAUAUGUAGAGUAUUACUUAUAUUUCAG
Long non-coding RNA from Ictalurus punctatus (channel catfish), 1003 nucleotides. The record is from Ensembl. Lineage: Eukaryota; Metazoa; Chordata; Actinopteri; Siluriformes; Ictaluridae.